This 115-nucleotide transfer RNA is filed under the name Puccinia graminis f. sp. tritici. It matches the Rfam family "tRNA". Rfam says of the family: Transfer RNA (tRNA) molecules are approximately 80 nucleotides in length. Their secondary structure includes four short double-helical elements and three loops (D, anti-codon, and T loops). The record is from Rfam by way of RNAcentral. Lineage: Eukaryota; Fungi; Basidiomycota; Pucciniomycetes; Pucciniales; Pucciniaceae.
GCCUUCGUGGCUCAGCUGGUUAGAGCGCCGGUCUCAUAUUCCCUUCCGAUAACAAUGUGAUCAUCUGCUCAGAUGAGUCAUCCGGAGAUCGCCAGUUCGAUCCUGGCCGAGGGCA